AUGCGCAGAGUACCUCCACUACUUCAUGAACACGGAAGUAAAGAUGUAUAAAAAGGGGCUGUUUGAACUGCUCAGCACGGCAGUUGGCGGAGCGCAGACUCCCCUGUCGUCCAGCGCUGGUUUUGCUCAUAUUCUACUUGCUAUAAUUAAUAAAAUUUUAAUUGGAUUAUGAUCCGUUGUGGUCUCAAUUUAUAACAAUUUCUGGUGCCGUGACUCGGAUAAGGAACGGUGGGUUUUGGUCCUCUGGGGAGAGGCCCCGCGACAUUUCGCGGCCCCGCGACCAACAGCUUACCCCAACCUUACCAACGAACCUAAAUUCUAGAAUAAUGAGCAAAGGAGAAACCGGUAAAAUCCCAUAAAAUUCUGUGCACGGGAGUCUGGACGAAGACGCAGGACGCAAACAGCUGUCCGAACUGCUGAGCGUGGAUGGACUCAUGCCAGUCGCAUUAAAGGCCCAGUGACGAGACCCCACUGGAAAGUAAUCAGUACUCCAGGUGACACCAAGAUAACCCUGAAAAGAUAACUUAAAGCUGCAAAGUGGGAAGCCUAUGUAAACAGGCAGAAAGCCCGAAACAACUGUUCUCCUGAAGAAUUCCCUUGCUGCCGAGAAGAUGGUACACCCCAUGACUCGAAGCAACCGAGCCGACGGGCAAGGCAGAGGAGGAACAAAAUGUGGAGAAAAGAACCAGAACAAUGGGACGCAAAAGCAGCAAUGGCCAAACUUCCCCAGGACUGGUAAAAAUAUACUUAAAUUGGCAAAAUUAACAGACACCCUUUUUCCUGGUAUACCGUUAGUUUUGUUAUUGAUAAUAACCCAAGCAAAUGGAAACCCUCAUGAACCUAUGGUAUG
This is a long non-coding RNA of Neopsephotus bourkii (Bourke's parrot), 850 nucleotides long. RefSeq lists it as uncharacterized. NCBI's taxonomy places the organism in Eukaryota, Metazoa, Chordata, Aves, Psittaciformes, Psittacidae. The transcript has 3 exons. The record is from RefSeq and is a predicted model, not a curated record.